UCCGAGUUGACCCCGGCAGUCUCCUAUGAGUCCCCACCAUUACGUGCUGGCAACAUAGAACGAGGGUUGCGCUCGUUGCGGGACUUAACCCAACAUCUCACGACACGAGCUGACGACAACCAUGCACCACCUGUAUGCGGGUGUCCAAAGAGUUCUGCAUCUCUGCAGCGUUCUCGCAUAUGUCAAGCCUUGGUAAGGUUCUUCGCGUUGCAUCGAAUUAAUCCGCAUGCUCCGCCGCUUGUGCGGGCCCCCGUCAAUUCCUUUGAGUUUUAGCCUUGCGGCCGUACUCCCCAGGCGGAGUGCUUAACGCGUUAGCUGCAGCACAGCGGGGGUCAAUACCCACAGCACCUAGCACUCAUCGUUUACGGCGUGGACUAC
RNAcentral lists this unclassified non-coding RNA (378 nucleotides) under uncultured Micrococcales bacterium. Its description in RNAcentral is "contains 16S-23S intergenic spacer region". The record is from RNAcentral. Lineage: Bacteria; Bacillati; Actinomycetota; Actinomycetes; Micrococcales.